AUACAACUUUCAGCAACGGAUCUCUUGGCUCUCGCAUCGAUGAAGAACGCAGCGAAAUGCGAUAAGUAAUGUGAAUUGCAGAAUUCAGUGAAUCAUCGAAUCUUUGAACGCACCUUGCGCUCCUUGGUAUUCCGAGGAGCAUGCCUGUUUGAGUGUCAUGAAGUUCUCAACUGC
RNAcentral lists this ribosomal RNA (174 nucleotides) under Sarcodon aspratus. Its description in RNAcentral is "5.8S ribosomal RNA". The stretch from base 5 to 158 matches the Rfam family "5.8S ribosomal RNA". Rfam says of the family: 5.8S ribosomal RNA (5.8S rRNA) is a component of the large subunit of the eukaryotic ribosome. It is transcribed by RNA polymerase I as part of the 45S precursor that also contains 18S and 28S rRNA. Lineage: Eukaryota; Fungi; Basidiomycota; Agaricomycetes; Thelephorales; Thelephoraceae. The record is from RNAcentral.